Molecule: long non-coding RNA, 1144 nt
Filed under: Taeniopygia guttata (zebra finch)
Lineage: Eukaryota; Metazoa; Chordata; Aves; Passeriformes; Estrildidae
Description: lncRNA (ENSTGUG00000023108.1)
Source: RNAcentral
UUUGGGGUGGAGGGGACCCCUUGGAUGCCACCCAGAACCCAGCCAGGGGAAAGCUGGCCAGGGAUCAGCCAGCAGCUGGGUCAGGCAUCACUUGUUCUGUAUGUUCUAAUUAUUGCAUCAUUUCUAUCAUUAUUUUCCUUCUUGGUUUGGUCCUAUUAAUCUGUAACCCAAACCAUGAAUUUUUUUUUCCAUAGUUCUCUCCCCCAUCGCACUGGGGCAGAGGGAGUGGGUGAGAGGCUCUGAGUUUUAGCUGGUUUUGGGUCAAACCAGACAGGUUUGCACACAUAAUUACACCAUCCACUGCUCUGGACAUUUUGCUCCCACAAUCUGAGUGAGUUCCCAUUGUUCAGCAGGAGAGCAAGGGACAGGGCACCCCCACUGUGUCACAGCAGGAUCAGGUUCAGAGGAGAAUUAAAUUUGCCAAUUAUCUUCCCACUUUCUUGUGCUAUGAAGCAUGUGCUCAUCCCCUCCCUGCAAAAGGCAGCUCCCCUUGCAUGGAAAUCAAUUUGAUGGUAUGAGUUUAAAGGUUUGUGCUGGAGGACUUCAGCAUCUUGCUUCUACAUAGGCAUGAGCCAAGUUAAAAUUUCCUUCUCUUUCCCUUCUGCUUAACCCUUUUAAUGUGGCUUCAGUGUUUGCCUCUUUACAGAUGUGCCCAUUUCCAGCUGAAGAAACUUGAGCUCAGAGGCUCGGAACAUGACAGUUCUAAUAUUGUAACUCUGACAUAUUUGGAAGUUUGCAUUCCUUUCUUUCUUUUGAUAUGAAAUGUAUUUAGAAAAUUGUUAAUUACGGCAAAAACAAAACCAACAAUAACUCAAGACUUAACAAUAAAACCUUGAAAAGGAAACAAAACAUUCAGUUAACCAGAAGCAAUUACUUCAUCGCUAUUUUCAGUUUAAAAACAAAAACAAAACCUCCAGGUUGCGAGGGUUUUAUCCUGUUUACAGAAAAUAUAUUUUCCAGGAUGGCAGAACUUUUCCCAGAACUUGACAAUGGUGUUUCUCUUCCCCUCCAAAGUACCACUUCUUCCAUAUGUUUAAGAAGGCACAUAAAGUCCAUUGAUUUCUCCAUGACCUAAACACAAGUGGAAUGUCUUGAUGAAAGGCAUCCAAAAGGUUUUUCUACAAGAACCCCAUGACUGUGGAAA